This 169-nucleotide ribosomal RNA is filed under the name uncultured Agrobacterium sp. RNAcentral describes it as "partial 16S ribosomal RNA". It matches the Rfam family "Bacterial small subunit ribosomal RNA", at positions 338 to 524 of the family's 1533-position model. Lineage: Bacteria; Pseudomonadati; Pseudomonadota; Alphaproteobacteria; Hyphomicrobiales; Rhizobiaceae. The record is from RNAcentral.
CCUACGGGAGGCAGCAGCGGGGAAUAUUGGACAAUGGGCGCAAGCCUGAUCCAGCCAUGUCGCGUGAGUGAUGAAGGCCUUAGGGUUGUAAAGCUCUUUCACCGAUGAAGAUAAUGACGGUAGUCGGAGAAGAAGCCCCGGCUAACUUCGUGCCAGCAGCCGCGGUAAU